AAAUCGUUUUGGGGACAAAUUUUUUUAUCAAUCCUUUGUAGCGCUCCCAUGCCUCGUAGAGUGACUCACCCGGUUGUUGCUGGAAAUUUGCUAUGACCUUCUUGAUUUU
Small nucleolar RNA from Lactuca sativa (garden lettuce), 109 nucleotides. NCBI's taxonomy places the organism in Eukaryota, Viridiplantae, Streptophyta, Magnoliopsida, Asterales, Asteraceae. The record is from RefSeq and is a predicted model, not a curated record.